This 432-nucleotide ribosomal RNA is filed under the name uncultured bacterium. RNAcentral describes it as "partial 16S ribosomal RNA". It matches the Rfam family "Bacterial small subunit ribosomal RNA", at positions 28 to 507 of the family's 1533-position model. The record is from RNAcentral.
GACGAACGCUGGCGGCGUGCCUAACACAUGCAAGUCGAACGAAACCUCCCGGCUUUUGUGCGCACGUCUGCGGACGCCGUGGGGAGCUACACUUAGGUACCGAACACCUCCCCGAAAGGGGUACUCAUAACAGUUGAUCUCUUCCGGCCUAAGAUUUAUUGCUUUUGGAUGGGCCCGCGUAGGUUUCGCUGGUUGGAAGGUUAAUGCCUACCAAGGCGCUGGUCUAUAGCUGGGCGGAGAGGAUGAUCAGCCACACUGGGACUGAGACACGGCCCAGACUCCUACGGGAGGCAGCAGUGGGGAAUAUUGGACAAUGGGCGAAAGCCUGAUCCAGCAAUGCCGCGUGAGUGAUGAAGGCCUUAGGGUUGUAAAGCUCUUUUACCCGGGAUGAUAAUGACAGUACCGGGAGAAUAAGCUCCGGCUAACUCCGUG